UACCAGACUCCUACGGGAGGCAGCAGUGGGGAAUAUUGCACAAUGGGGGAAACCCUGAUGCAGCGACGCCGCGUGAGUGAAGAAGUAUUUCGGUAUGUAAAGCUCUAUCAGCAGGGAAGAAAAACCGACCAUAGGGUCGCUAGACGGUACCUGAUUAAGAAGCCCCGGCUAACUACGUGCCAGCAGCCGCGGUAAUACGUAGGGGGCAAGCGUUAUCCGGAUUUACUGGGUGUAAAGGGAGCGCAGGCGGCCUUGCAAGUCUGAUGUGAAAGGCCGGGGCCCAACCCCGGGACUGCUCUUGGAACUGUGCGGCUAGAGUGCGGGAGGGGCAGGCGGAAUUCCUGGUGUAGCGGUGAAAUGCGUAGAUAUCAGGAGGAACACCGGUGGCGAAGGCGGCCUGCUGGACUGCGACUGACGUUGAGGCCCGAAAGCGUGGGGAGCAAACAGGAUUAGAUACCCCCGUAAA
Molecule: ribosomal RNA, 466 nt
Filed under: uncultured bacterium
Lineage: Bacteria
Description: partial 16S ribosomal RNA
Rfam family: Bacterial small subunit ribosomal RNA
Source: RNAcentral